UACGGGGGGGGCAAGCGUUGUUCGGAAUUACUGGGCGUAAAGGGCUCGUAGGCGGCCAACUAAGUCGGAUGUGAAAUCCCCAGGCUCAACCUGGGAACUGCAUCCGAUACUGGAUGGCUUGAAUUCGGGAGAGGGAUGCAGAAUUCCAGGUGUAGCGGUGAAAUGCGUAGAUAUCUGGAGGAAUACCGGUGGCGAAGGCGGCAUCCUGGACCGACACUGACGCUGAGGAGCGAAAGCCAGGGGAGCAAACGGG
RNAcentral lists this ribosomal RNA (253 nucleotides) under uncultured bacterium. RNAcentral's name for it is "partial 16S ribosomal RNA". It matches the Rfam family "Bacterial small subunit ribosomal RNA", at positions 524 to 776 of the family's 1533-position model. The record is from RNAcentral.